Molecule: ribosomal RNA, 637 nt
Filed under: Vibrio parahaemolyticus
Lineage: Bacteria; Pseudomonadati; Pseudomonadota; Gammaproteobacteria; Vibrionales; Vibrionaceae
Description: bacterial SSU rRNA
Rfam family: Bacterial small subunit ribosomal RNA
Source: RNAcentral
UUGGGAGGGUUGUGGCCUUNNNNCGUGGCUUUUCGGAGCUAACGCGUUAAGUAGACCGCCUGGGGAGUACGGUCGCAAGAUUAAAACUCAAAUGAAUUGACGGGGGCCCGCACAAGCGGUGGAGCAUGUGGUUUAAUUCGAUGCAACGCGAAGAACCUUACCUACUCUUGACAUCCAGAGAACUUUCCAGAGAUGGAUUGGUGCCUUCGGGAACUCUGAGACAGGUGCUGCAUGGCUGUCGUCAGCUCGUGUUGUGAAAUGUUGGGUUAAGUCCCGCAACGAGCGCAACCCUUAUCCUUGUUUGCCAGCGAGUAAUGUCGGGAACUCCAGGGAGACUGCCGGUGAUAAACCGGAGGAAGGUGGGGACGACGUCAAGUCAUCAUGGCCCUUACGAGUAGGGCUACACACGUGCUACAAUGGCGCAUACAGAGGGCGGCCAACUUGCGAAAGUGAGCGAAUCCCAAAAAGUGCGUCGUAGUCCGGAUUGGAGUCUGCAACUCGACUCCAUGAAGUCGGAAUCGCUAGUAAUCGUGGAUCAGAAUGCCACGGUGAAUACGUUCCCGGGCCUUGUACACACCGCCCGUCACACCAUGGGNNNNGGCUGCAAAAGAAGUAGGUAGUUAACCUUCGGGGGGAC